GUGAGCUACAUGUGGUUUAGGUGACAGGAUGGACCUCAUGUUCAGCACCUCGACCACCUACAGACCCCCUCCCCUCCCUAUAGGCAGUUUUUUCCUCCCCUUUUUUGCGGAGUGAAUAAGAAGGGAACCCAAAGACAGAGCGACUCAGAGUCGAAAAGACGCUCAUCCACCCCCGCAAUGCCCAGUAGUACCCCGAGCACCAACGGAAUCAUGCCUGAAGUAAAGAAGGCAGGAAGAAAAGGAUCGAGAGCAGAAGCAAAUCCUGCAGAAAAGGCACCACCAUAUGACCCCAACAUCACUGAGCCCGAUACUAGAGCUGAGCUGAUGAAAUGUAUGCAUGAAGAUUACAAGAACUGUCUUGUUUCUUGCAUUUUUUAAUAUAUAUAUAUAU
Molecule: long non-coding RNA, 391 nt
Filed under: Sinocyclocheilus grahami
Lineage: Eukaryota; Metazoa; Chordata; Actinopteri; Cypriniformes; Cyprinidae
Description: lncRNA (ENSSGRG00000052055.1)
Source: RNAcentral